GCCUACGGGAGGCAGCAGUGGGGAAUUUUGGACAAUGGGGGCAACCCUGAUCCAGCCAUGCCGCGUGAGUGAAGAAGGCCUGGUUGUAAGCUCUUUGGUUCGGAAAGAAAAGGACUUCGUCUAAUAAACGAGGCUCUUGACGGUACCGGCAGAAUAAGCACCGGCUAACUACGUGCCAGCAGCCGCGGUC
Molecule: ribosomal RNA, 190 nt
Filed under: uncultured Burkholderia sp.
Lineage: Bacteria; Pseudomonadati; Pseudomonadota; Betaproteobacteria; Burkholderiales; Burkholderiaceae
Description: partial 16S ribosomal RNA
Rfam family: Bacterial small subunit ribosomal RNA
Source: RNAcentral